This 263-nucleotide unclassified non-coding RNA is filed under the name Lactarius semisanguifluus. Its description in RNAcentral is "partial internal transcribed spacer 2". Lineage: Eukaryota; Fungi; Basidiomycota; Agaricomycetes; Russulales; Russulaceae. The record is from RNAcentral.
AAAUCUCAACCUUCUCGGUUUUCUUCUGGACACCGAAGGAGGCUUGGACUUUGGAGGCCUUUGCUGGCAUCUCUCUCUUCUUGAGAGCCAGCUCCUCUUAAACGAAUUAGCGGGGUCCUCUUUGCCGAUCCUCGACAUGUGAUAAGAUGUUUCCAUGACUUGGUUUCUGGCUCUGUUGCCUUUGGGACCCGCUUCUAACCGUCUCGACGAGACGACGUUUGGGCGCGUCUCCCUUCUCGGGAGACACUCUCAACCCCACGAAC